UACGAAGGGGGCUAGCGUUGUUCGGAAUUACUGGGCGUAAAGGGCGCGUAGGCGGCCUUGUCAGUCAGAUGUGAAAGCCCCGGGCUCAACCUGGGAACCGCAUUUGAUACUGCAAGGCUCGAGUUCCGGAGAGGAUGGUGGAAUUCCCAGUGUAGAGGUGAAAUUCGUAGAUAUUGGGAAGAACACCGGUGGCGAAGGCGGCCAUCUGGACGGACACUGACGCUGAGGCGCGAAAGCGUGGGGAGCAAACAGG
RNAcentral lists this ribosomal RNA (253 nucleotides) under uncultured bacterium. RNAcentral's name for it is "partial 16S ribosomal RNA". It matches the Rfam family "Bacterial small subunit ribosomal RNA", at positions 524 to 776 of the family's 1533-position model. The record is from RNAcentral.